ACAAGCAAACAAGGGCGUACGGUGGAUGCCUUGGCUCUCAUAGGCGAUGAAGGACGUGAUAAGCUGCGAUAAGCUCCGGUUAGGUGCAAAUAACCCUCAACCCGGAGAUUUCCGAAUGGGACAACCCAGUAUACGAAGUAUAUUAUCCCGCAAGGGAGGCAAACCCGGAGAACUGAAACAUCUAAGUAUCCGGAGGAAGAGAAAACAAAAAACGACUGCAAAGUUUAGUGAUUCCCCCAGUAGCGGCGAGCGACCGGGGAACAGCCCAAACCAGGAUUGUUUCGGCAUUCCUGGGGUAGUAGGACUGCGGUGUAGAUGAAAUAAAUGAAAUGGAAGGUUUUGGAACAAGCCAUCACAGAGGGUGAAAAUCCCGUACAUGUAAGUUUAUCAAUCUUAGCAGUAUCCUGAGUAAGGCGGGACACGUGAAAUCCUGUCUGAAUCAGCCGGGCCCAUCCGGCAAGGCUAAAUACUCAUGAGAGACCGAUAGUGAACCAGUACUGUGAAGGAAAGGUGAAAAGCACCCCUAACAGGGGAGUGAAAUAGUCCCUGAACCCGUACGCCUACAAGCAGUCGGAGCCCUUUAGUGGGGUGACGGCGUGCCUUUUGCAUAAUGAGCCUACGAGUUACUCAUCUGUGGCAAGGUUAAGUGCCUGAAGGCACGUGAGCCGAAGCGAAAGCGAGUCUGAAUAGGGCGAGAUUCAUUUUCCUUGGAAAAUGAAAGCGCACAAUGUGCGUUAAGUCAUAGGUGGUAGACGCGAAACCUUGUGAUCUACCCAUGUGCAGGUUGCAGGUUUGGUAACACAAACUGAAGGACCGAACCGAUAAGCGUUGAAAAGCUUCCGGAUGACAUGUGGGUAGGGGUGAAAGGCCAAUCAAACUGGGAAAUAGCUCGUACUCUCCGAAAUGCNNNNNNNNNNNAUUAAUUGUGUGCGAGGUAGAGCUACUGUCUGGAUGCGAGGGUUUCACCGCCUAUCAAAUCCGUGCAAACUCCGAAUGCGCACACAUAUAUCAGGGAGUGAGCCCGCGGGUGCUAAGGUCCGCGGACGAAAGAGGAAGAACUCAGCCCAUCAGCUAAGGUCCCCAAUUGUAUACUGAGUUGAGAACAGAACGAGGUGUUAUUGCUUAGACAGCUAGUAUGUUGGCUUGGAAGCAGCCAUUCAUUUAAAGAGUGCGUAACAGCUCACUAGUCGAGCGAUGAUGCGUGGAUAAUACGCGGGCAUAAGUAUACAACCGAAGCUAUGGACUUGUACUUAGGUACAAGUGGUAGGAGAGCAUUCCAUUCAGUGUCGAAUCCGUAUCGUGAGAUAUGGUGGAGCGGAUGGAAAAGCAAAUGUAGGCAUAAGUAACGAUAAAGGAGGUGAGAACCCUCCUCGCCGAAAGAUCAAGGAUUCCCCGGCAAUGUCAUUCAUCCGGGGUUCAGUCGGGUCCUAAGGUUAACCUUAAUGGGAGACCGAUGGCAAACAGGUUAAUAUUCCUGUACACAUAUAUACUGCGAUGCAGUUACGUAGAAGUGACACCGCUGCGUACUCACGGAAUAGUACGUUUAAGCCUCAAGUCGUUGAUUGUGGCAGUUAAGUACGCCACGAGAGAUGAAGGGUGAAAGUACCGCAAGGCUUCGGCUGCGCGGAUAAUGCGGGUAAUCAAGCUACCAAGAAACCCUGCUAAGCUUCAGGUAUAUAUGUCCCGUACCGUAAACGGACACACGUGAUCGGGUAGAGCAUACUAAGGCGCACGAGAUAUUCAUGGCUAAGGAACUAGGCAAAAUAGUCCUGUAACUUCGGGAAAAAGGACGCUUCCCUUUUAGGGUAGCCUCAGUAAAAUGGCCCAGGCGACUGUUUAGCAAAAACAUAUGGCUAUGCCAAAUCGCAAGAUGACGUAUAUGGCCUGACACCUGCCCGGUGCCGGAAGGUUAAGAGGAGAGCUUAGAUGCGAGUCGACGGUUUGAAUUGAAGCCCCGGUAAACGGCGGCCGUAACUAUAACGGUCCUAAGGUAGCGAAAUUCCUUGUCGGGUAAGUUCCGACCUGCACGAAUAUCUGGGUACUGUCUCAGCCAUGUUCUCGGUGAAAUUGUAGUUCCGGUGAAGAUGCCGGAUACCCUCAACGGGACGGAAAGACCCCGUGAACCUUUACUGCAGCUUUGCAUUGAAAUUGGUUACGUGAUGUGUAGGAUAGGUCGGAGACUAAGAAAUGGCAUCGUCAGGUGUUGUGGAGUCGCUGUUGAAAUACGACCCUUUGCUUAACUGAUUUCUAAUCCCUCGUAUUGAGGGAGACAUUGCAUGGUGGGUAGUUUGACUGGGGUGGUCGCCUCCGAAAGCGUAACGGAGGCUUCUCAAGGUACCCUCAUGGCGUUUGGUAAUCGCCAGUAGAGUGCAAUGGCAUAAGGGUGCUUGACUGUGAGACCGACAAGUCGAUCAGGUAGGAAACUAGAGCAUAGUGAUCCGGCGGUUCCGCAUGGAAGGUCCGUCGCUCAAAGGAUAAAAGGUACUCCGGGGAUAACAGGCUGAUCGCUCCCAAGAGCUCAUAUCGACGGAGCGGUUUGGCACCUCGAU
This 2549-nucleotide ribosomal RNA is filed under the name termite gut metagenome. RNAcentral's name for it is "bacterial LSU rRNA". It matches the Rfam family "Bacterial large subunit ribosomal RNA", at positions 1 to 2530 of the family's 2925-position model. The record is from RNAcentral.